Molecule: ribosomal RNA, 400 nt
Filed under: uncultured bacterium
Lineage: Bacteria
Description: partial 16S ribosomal RNA
Rfam family: Archaeal small subunit ribosomal RNA
Source: RNAcentral
AUACCAGCACCCCGAGUGGUCGGGACGUUUAUUGGGCCUAAAGCACCCGUAGCCGGUUUUGCAAGUCUUCCGUUAAAUCCACCUGCUUAACAGAUGGGCUGCGGAAGAUACUAUAGAGCUAGGAGGCGGGAGAGGCAAGCGGUACUCGAUGGGUAGGGGUAAAAUCCGUUGAUCCAUUGAAGACCACCAGUGGCGAAGGCGGCUUGCCAGAACGCGCUCGACGGUGAGGGAUGAAAGCUGGGGGAGCAAACCGGAUUAGAUACCCGGGUAGUCCCAGCUGUAAACGAUGCAGACUCGGUGAUGAAUUGGCUUUAUGCCAAUUCAGUGCCGCAGGGAAGCCGUUAAGUUUGCCGCCUGGGGAGUACGGUCGCAAGACUGAAACUUAAAGGAAUUGACGGGG